GGGCCCAUAGCUCACCUGGUAGAGCGCCACAUUUGCAAUGUGGAGGUAACCGGUUCGAGUCCGGUUGGGUCCACCA
This 76-nucleotide transfer RNA is filed under the name Anaplasmataceae bacterium. Its description in RNAcentral is "tRNA-Ala". It matches the Rfam family "tRNA". From Rfam's summary of the family: Transfer RNA (tRNA) molecules are approximately 80 nucleotides in length. The record is from RNAcentral. Lineage: Bacteria; Pseudomonadati; Pseudomonadota; Alphaproteobacteria; Rickettsiales; Anaplasmataceae.